UAAGAUGAGAGUUUGAUCCUGGCUCAGGACGAACGCUGGCGGCGUGCCUAAUACAUGCAAGUCGAACGCUUCUUUUUCCACCGGAGCUUGCUCCACCGGAAAAAGAGGAGUGGCGAACGGGUGAGUAACACGUGGGUAACCUGCCCAUCAGAAGGGGAUAACACUUGGAAACAGGUGCUAAUACCGUAUAACAAUCGAAACCGCAUGG
Molecule: ribosomal RNA, 208 nt
Filed under: Levilactobacillus brevis
Lineage: Bacteria; Bacillati; Bacillota; Bacilli; Lactobacillales; Lactobacillaceae
Description: partial 16S ribosomal RNA
Rfam family: Bacterial small subunit ribosomal RNA
Source: RNAcentral